Molecule: ribosomal RNA, 489 nt
Filed under: uncultured bacterium
Lineage: Bacteria
Description: bacterial SSU rRNA
Rfam family: Bacterial small subunit ribosomal RNA
Source: RNAcentral
AUUGAACGCUGGCGGCAGGCCUAACACAUGCAAGUCGAGCGGAUGAGGGUAGCUUGCUACCUGAUUCAGCGGCGGACGGGUGAGUAAUGCCUAGGAAUCUGCCUGGUAGUGGGGGACAACGUUUCGAAAGGAACGCUAAUACCGCAUACGUCCUACGGGAGAAAGUGGGGGAUCUUCGGACCUCACGCUAUCAGAUGAGCCUAGGUCGGAUUAGCUAGUUGGUGGGGUAAAGGCUCACCAAGGCGACGAUCCGUAACUGGUCUGAGAGGAUGAUCAGUCACACUGGAACUGAGACACGGUCCAGACUCCUACGGGAGGCAGCAGUGGGGAAUAUUGGAUAAUGGGCGCAAGCCUGAUCCAGCCAUGCCGCGUGUGUGAAGAAGGUCUUCGGAUUGUAAAGCACUUUAAGUUGGGAGGAAGGGCAGUAAGUUAAUACCUUGCUGUUUUGACGUUACCGACAGAAUAAGCACCGGCUAACUCUGUGCCUGC